AGCUAGCGGUAUGCUACACAUGUUAUCGUGACGGAAAAGAAAUUUCAGUGGCGAACGGGUGAGUACACGUAGAUUGCCUUUAGGAAGAGGAUAACUAUUAGAAAUAAGUUGCUAAAACUCUAUAUGCCUUACGGUGAAAAAAGAAAUUUGCCUAAAGAGAAGCUCGCGUCUGAUUAGCUAGUUGGUGGGGUAAAGGCCUACCAAGGCGACGAUCAGUAGCUGGUCUGAGAGGAUGAUCAGCCACACUGGAACUGAGACACGGUCCAGACUCCUACGGGAGGCAGCAGUGAGGAAUUUUCUGCAAUGGGCGAAAGCCUGACAGAGCAAUACCGCGUGAGGGAUGACGGCCUAUGGGUUGUAAACCUCUUUUCUCAAGGAGGAAAAUUUGACGUUACUUGAGGAAUAAGCAUCGGCUAACCCUGUGCCAGCAGCCGCGGUAAUACAGGGGAUGCAAGUGUUAUCCGGAAUUAUUGGGCGUAAAG
RNAcentral lists this ribosomal RNA (482 nucleotides) under uncultured bacterium. RNAcentral's name for it is "bacterial SSU rRNA". It matches the Rfam family "Bacterial small subunit ribosomal RNA", at positions 34 to 565 of the family's 1533-position model. The record is from RNAcentral.